Molecule: ribosomal RNA, 731 nt
Filed under: Shewanella sp. KH04J08
Lineage: Bacteria; Pseudomonadati; Pseudomonadota; Gammaproteobacteria; Alteromonadales; Shewanellaceae
Description: bacterial SSU rRNA
Rfam family: Bacterial small subunit ribosomal RNA
Source: RNAcentral
UGGGCGUAAGCGUACGCAGGCGGUUUGUUAAGCAAGAUGUGAAAGCCCUGGGCUCAACCUAGGAACCGCAUUUUGAACUGGCAGACUAGAGUCUUGUAGAGGGGGGUAGAAUUUCAGGUGUAGCGGUGAAAUGCGUAGAGAUCUGAAGGAAUACCGGUGGCGAAGGCGGCCCCCUGGACAAAGACUGACGCUCAUGUACGAAAGCGUGGGGAGCAAACAGGAUUAGAUACCCUGGUAGUCCACGCCGUAAACGAUGUCUACUCGGAAUCUGGUGUCUUGAACACUGGGUUCCUAAGCUAACGCAUUAAGUAGACCGCCUGGGGAGUACGGCCGCAAGGUUAAAACUCAAAUGAAUUGACGGGGGCCCGCACAAGCGGUGGAGCAUGUGGUUUAAUUCGAUGCAACGCGAAGAACCUUACCUACUCUUGACAUCCAUAGAACUUUUCAGAGAUGAAUUGGUGCCUUCGGGAACUAUGAGACAGGUGCUGCAUGGCUGUCGUCAGCUCGUGUUGUGAAAUGUUGGGUUAAGUCCCGCAACGAGCGCAACCCUUAUCCUUAUUUGCCAGCACGUAAUGGUGGGAACUUUAGGGAGACUGCCGGUGAUAAACCGGAGGAAGGUGGGGACGACGUCNAGUCAUCAUGGCCCUUACGAGUAGGGCUACACACGUGCUACAAUGGCGAGUACAGAGGGUUGCGAAGCCGCGAGGUGGAGCUAAUCCCAGNNNCUCGUC